AUUGAACGCUGGCGGCAUGCCUUACACAUGCAAGUCGAACGGUAACGGGCCUUCGGGUGCCGACGAGUGGCGAACGGGUGAGUAAUACAUCGGAACGUGCCCGAUCGUGGGGGAUAACGAGGCGAAAGCUUUGCUAAUACCGCAUACGAUCUACGGAUGAAAGCAGGGGACCGCAAGGCCUUGCGCGGACGGAGCGGCCGAUGGCAGAUUAGGUAGUUGGUGGGAUAAAAGCUUACCAAGCCGACGAUCUGUAGCUGGUCUGAGAGGAUGAUCAGCCACACUGGGACUGAGACACGGCCCAGACCCCUACGGGAGGCAGCAGUGGGGAAUUUUGGACAAUGGGCGCAAGCCUGAUCCAGCCAUGCCGCGUGCAGGAUGAAGGCCUUCGGGUUGUAAACUGCUUUUGUACGGAACGAAAAGCCUUCUUUUAAUACAGGAGGGUCAUGACGGUACCGGAAGAAUAAGCACCGGCUAACUACGUG
Molecule: ribosomal RNA, 482 nt
Filed under: uncultured bacterium
Lineage: Bacteria
Description: partial 16S ribosomal RNA
Rfam family: Bacterial small subunit ribosomal RNA
Source: RNAcentral